RNAcentral lists this ribosomal RNA (496 nucleotides) under uncultured bacterium. Its description in RNAcentral is "partial 16S ribosomal RNA". It matches the Rfam family "Bacterial small subunit ribosomal RNA", at positions 29 to 507 of the family's 1533-position model. The record is from RNAcentral.
AUGAACGCUGGCGGCGUGCCUAAUACAUGCAAGUCGAGCGAACGGACGAGAAGCUUGCUUUUCUGAUGUUAGCGGCGGACGGGUGAGUAACACGUGGAUAACCUACCUAUAAGACUGGGAUAACUUCGGGAAACCGGAGCUAAUACCGGAUAAUAUUUUGAACCGCAUGGUUCAAAAGUGAAAGACGGUCUUGCUGUCACUUAUAGAUGGAUCCGCGCUGCAUUAGCUAGUUGGUAAGGUAACGGCUUACCAAGGCAACGAUGCAUAGCCGACCUGAGAGGGGGAUCGGCGACACUGGAACUGAGACACGGUCCAGACUCCUAAGGGAGGGAGCAGUAGGGAAUCUGCCGCAAAGGGCGAAAGCCUGACGGAGCAACGCCGAGUGAGUGAUGAAGGUCUUCGGAUCGUAAAACUCUGUUAUUAGGGAAGAACAUAUGUGUAAGUAACUGUGCACAUCUUGACGGUACCUAAUCAGAAAGCCACGGCUAACUACGUG